This 221-nucleotide ribosomal RNA is filed under the name uncultured bacterium. RNAcentral's name for it is "partial 16S ribosomal RNA". It matches the Rfam family "Bacterial small subunit ribosomal RNA", at positions 328 to 539 of the family's 1533-position model. The record is from RNAcentral.
ACGCUCGACACCUACUGGAGGCAGCAGUAGGGAAUCUUCCACAAUGGACGCAAGUCUGAUGGAGCAACGCCGCGUGAGUGAAGAAGGUUUUCGGAUCGUAAAGCUCUGUUGUUGGUGAAGAAGGAUAGAGGUAGUAACUGGCCUUUAUUGACGGUAAUCAACCAGAAAGUCACGGCUAACUACGUGCCAGCAGCCGCGGUAAUCUGAGCGGCUGGCAAGGC